AUUUGGGUACAAUGGUGAUGUGAACCCUAUUUGGGUCCAGUGACGAUAUGAGGCACCAUAGGAGUUGGCACCAGCUCAAGACAUGCCUCCUUUAAAGUCUUGUGACUUACCACUGUUCAAACUAAUACUAUUAAUGUAGUGGUUAAUGUUAGGCUUUUAGAAUUCAUAUUAUUUCUAUUUUGUUAUGUAAGGAGUUUGUACAAUACAGACUUUUCUAUACAGCUGCAGAGUCAGGAUUAUAGUCAGUGAGUGGAAAGUCACAAGGAUCUUAAUUCAUUUUAACUUUAAAGAUGAAAUAUUCUAACUUCAGCAGCUACUCCGAAACUAAAGAUGAGAUAGUAAGAAUCUUGUUUCUGGAAAUGUUCAAACAAGAACUAGAAGAUGCACAUUAGGGAAAUUAUGGAUAAUGCAAUGAGUGGUAGAUUUGACUUGAGACUUCUUAGAUGAUUUCAGAUGCAAAUUAGUAAUUUUAAAAUGUAUCACUUAAUGAUAUUCUAUGUGAUUUUAUUCUUAUAUAUGGAAAAUAUCCAGAAAUACAUGUAUUAGUCAAUUAUCUAAUGGUGAUGUUUUGCUUUCUUCGCCAAAUCUGAUAAUUUGUUACAAAAAUAAAAAUAGAUAACUAUGGGUUUAAUUUGUUAAACUUCUGUAUUUCCUUCACAGUGUGAAAUACUUCACAAAUGUACCCUUUCAUCCUUACAAAAAUUCUUCAAGUUGAACCUGCAAGUACCUUCUAUUGUUCCAGAAUCUUGCUUUGUUGCCCUGCUGUACAGAGCCUACUGAGGUGGGAAGAGAGAAACAAAUAAAGGAAGAAUUGUAGCUGAGUGAGAAACAUGCAAAAGGAAUAAAGGGAAGUAAUUUCUAACCUUGAGGUAAGGC
RNAcentral lists this long non-coding RNA (876 nucleotides) under Oryctolagus cuniculus (rabbit). RNAcentral describes it as "lncRNA (ENSOCUG00000037943.1)". Lineage: Eukaryota; Metazoa; Chordata; Mammalia; Lagomorpha; Leporidae. The record is from RNAcentral.